RNAcentral lists this ribosomal RNA (385 nucleotides) under uncultured bacterium. Its description in RNAcentral is "bacterial SSU rRNA". It matches the Rfam family "Bacterial small subunit ribosomal RNA", at positions 28 to 416 of the family's 1533-position model. The record is from RNAcentral.
GACGAACGCUGGCGGCGUGCUUAACACAUGCAAGUCGAGCGGAAAGGCCCUUCGGGGUACUCGAGCGGCGAACGGGUGAGUAACACGUGAGUAACCUGCCCUGGACUUUGGGAUAACCCUCGGAAACGAGGGCUAAUACCGAAUACGACUUUUCCUCGCAUGAGGUUUGGUUGGAAAGUUUUUCGGUUCUGGGAUGGGCUCGCGGCCUAUCAGCUUGUUGGUGGGGUGAUGGCCUACCAAGGCGACGACGGGUAGCCGGCCUGAGAGGGCGACCGGCCACACUGGGACUGAGACACGGCCCAGACUCCUACGGGAGGCAGCAGUGGGGAAUAUUGCACAAUGGGCGGAAGCCUGAUGCAGCAACGCCGCGUGAGGGAUGACGGCC